RNAcentral lists this ribosomal RNA (255 nucleotides) under Shouchella clausii. Its description in RNAcentral is "partial 23S ribosomal RNA". It matches the Rfam family "Bacterial large subunit ribosomal RNA", at positions 395 to 652 of the family's 2925-position model. The record is from RNAcentral. Lineage: Bacteria; Bacillati; Bacillota; Bacilli; Caryophanales; Bacillaceae.
UCCAGAGUGGAUCCUGAGUACGGCGGGACACGUGAAACCCCGUCGGAAUCCGGGAGGACCAUCUCCCAAGGCUAAAUACUCCCUAGUGACCGAUAGUGAACCAGUACCGUGAGGGAAAGGUGAAAAGCACCCCGGAAGGGGAGUGAAAGAGAUCCUGAAACCGUGUGCCUACAACUAGUCAGAGCCCGUUAACGGGUGAUGGCGUGCCUUUUGUAGAAUGAACCGGCGAGUUACGGUAUCGUGCAAGGUUAAGCU